GUGGGGAAUCUUCCGCAAUGGACGAAAGUCUGACGGAGCGACGCCGCGUGAGUGAAGAAGGUUUUCGGAUCGUAAAGCUCUUUCGUUAGGGACGAACGUGCUCUUUGUGAAUAAUGAGGAGUAAUGACGGUACCUAAAUAAGAAGCCACGGCUAACUACGUGCCAGCAGCCGCGGUAAUACGUAGGUGGCAAGCGUUGUCCGGAAUUAUUGGGCGUAAAGCGCGCGCAGGCGGGAUAUCAAGUCUGUCUUAAAAGUGCGAGGCUCAACCUCGUGAGGGGACAGAAACUGGUAUUCUUGAGUGUCGGAGAGGAAAGUGGAAUUCCAAGUGUAGCGGUGAAAUGCGUAGAGAUUUGGAAGAACACCAGUGGCGAAGGCGACUUUCUGGACGAUGUCUGACGCUGAGGCGCGAAAGCUAGGGGAGCGAACGGGAUUAGAAACCCGGGUAGUCC
This 450-nucleotide ribosomal RNA is filed under the name uncultured bacterium. RNAcentral's name for it is "partial 16S ribosomal RNA". It matches the Rfam family "Bacterial small subunit ribosomal RNA", at positions 354 to 796 of the family's 1533-position model. The record is from RNAcentral.